GACGAACGCUGGCGGCGUGCUUAACACAUGCCAGUCGAACGAGGACGCCCGAGCUUGCUCGGUCUGAUUAGUGGCGAACGGGUGAGUAACACGUGAGCAACCUGCCCUUCACUCUGGGAUAACCUCGGGAAAGCGGGGCUAAUACCGGAUAUGAGCUCCUGUCGCAUGGCGGGUGUUGGAAAGUUUUUCGGUGUAGGAUGGGCUCGCGGCCUAUCAGUUUGUUGGUGUGGUUGUGGCACACGAAGGCGAUGACGGGUAGCCGGCCUGAGUGGGCGACCGGCCACACUGGGACUGAGACACGGCCCAGACUCCUACGGGAGGCAGCAGUGGGGAAUAUUGCACAAUGGGCGAAAGCCUGAUGCAGCGACGCCGCGUGAGGGAUGACGGCCUUCGGGUUGUAAACCACUUUCAGCAGGGAAGAAGCGAAAGUGACGGUACCGGCAGAAGAAGCGCCGGCUAACUACGUG
This 467-nucleotide ribosomal RNA is filed under the name uncultured bacterium. RNAcentral describes it as "partial 16S ribosomal RNA". It matches the Rfam family "Bacterial small subunit ribosomal RNA", at positions 28 to 507 of the family's 1533-position model. The record is from RNAcentral.